AGAGUUUGAUCAUGGCUCAGGACGAACGCUGGCGGCGUGCUUAACACAUGCAAGUCGAACGAUGAAGCUGGAGCUUGCUCCAGUGGAUUAGUGGCGAACGGGUGAGUAACACGUGAGCAAUCUGCCCUUGACUCUGGGAUAACUGCGGGAAACUGUAGCUAAUACCGGAUACGACACCUUGGGGCAUCCCAGGGUGUGGAAAGAAUUUCGGUCAAGGAUGAGCUCGCGGCCUAUCAGCUAGUUGGUGAGGUAAUGGCUCACCAAGGCGACGACGGGUAGCCGGCCUGAGAGGGUGACCGGCCACACUGGAACUGAGAUACGGUCCAGACUCCUACGGGAGGCAGCAGUGGGGAAUAUUGCACAAUGGGCGCAAGCCUGAUGCAGCAACGCCGCGUGAGGGAUGAAGGCCUUCGGGUUGUAAACCUCUUUUAGCAGGGAAGAAGCGAAAGUGACGGUACCUGCAGAAAAAGCACCGGCUAACUACGUGCCAGCAGCCGCGGUAAUACGUAGGGUGCAAGCGUUGUCCGGAAUUAUUGGGCGUAAAGAGCUCGUAGGCGGUUUGUCGCGUCUGCUGUGAAAAUCCAAGGCUCAACCUUGGACCUGCAGUGGGUACGGGCAGACUAGAGUGCGGUAGGGGAGAUGGGAAUUCCUGGUGUAGCGGUGGAAUGCGCAGAUAUCAGGAGGAACACCAAUGGCGAAGGCACAUCUCUGGGCCGUAACUGACGCUGAGGAGCGAAAGCGUGGGGAGCGAACAGGAUUAGAUACCCUGGUAGUCCACGCCGUAAACGGUGGGUGCUAGUUGUGGGCCACAUUCCACGUGGUCCGUGACGAAGUUAACACAUUAAGCACCCCGCCUGGGGAGUACGGUCGCAAGACUAAAACUCAAAGGAAUUGACGGGGGCCCGCACAAGCGGCGGAGCAUGCGGAUUAAUUCGAUGCAACGCGAAGAACCUUACCAAGGCUUGACAUAUAGAGGAAACGUGCAGAAAUGUACGCCCCGCAAGGUCUCUAUACAGGUGGUGCAUGG
Molecule: ribosomal RNA, 1027 nt
Filed under: uncultured bacterium
Lineage: Bacteria
Description: bacterial SSU rRNA
Rfam family: Bacterial small subunit ribosomal RNA
Source: RNAcentral